UACGUAGGGGGCAAGCGUUGUCCGGAAUCACUGGGUGUAAAGGGAGCUCAGGCGGAUUUAUAAGUCAGAGGUGAAAUCCUGCAGCUUAACUGCAGAACUGCCUUUGAUACUGUAGAUCUAGAAUUCAGGAGAGGGUGAUGGAAUUCAUGGUGUAGCGGUGAAAUGCGUAGAUAUCAUGAAGAACACCAGUUGCGAAGGCGGUCACCUGGCCUGAUUAUUGACGCUCAAGCUCGAAAGCGUGGGGA
Molecule: ribosomal RNA, 245 nt
Filed under: uncultured bacterium
Lineage: Bacteria
Description: partial 16S ribosomal RNA
Rfam family: Bacterial small subunit ribosomal RNA
Source: RNAcentral